This 242-nucleotide ribosomal RNA is filed under the name uncultured bacterium. Its description in RNAcentral is "partial 16S ribosomal RNA". It matches the Rfam family "Bacterial small subunit ribosomal RNA", at positions 91 to 334 of the family's 1533-position model. The record is from RNAcentral.
CGGACCGGCGCACGGGUGCGUAACGCGUAUGCAACCUACCUUUAACAGGGGGAUAACACUGAGAAAUUGGUACUAAUACCCCAUAAUAUCAUAGAAGGCAUCUUUUAUGGUUGAAAAUUCCGAUGGUUAGAGAUGGGCAUGCGUUGUAUUAGCUAGUUGGUGAGGUAACGGCUCACCAAGGCGACGAUACAUAGGGGGACUGAGAGGUUAACCCCCCACACUGGUACUGAGACACGGACCAG